Long non-coding RNA from Brassica oleracea var. oleracea, 1499 nucleotides. RefSeq lists it as uncharacterized. The record is from RefSeq and is a predicted model, not a curated record. The transcript is spliced from 3 exons. NCBI's taxonomy places the organism in Eukaryota, Viridiplantae, Streptophyta, Magnoliopsida, Brassicales, Brassicaceae.
AUAGAAAUAUAAGCCUGUCAGCCCAGCCUGAAACAAAGAGACCAAGAUCUUCUUCGCCAAUGGUGAUUUCUAAAACUAGGGUUCAUCGUCUUCUUCAGCCUUGACAACCUAAGCCAUCAAUGGAGUUUCAAGAGGUUGAGUGAGAUGAAUCGUCAUGAAGAAUCUAUGUGUCCAGUUCGAUUGUCGUUUCAUCUUAUGAUCCUUCCUCUCCUCUAGAACGUUACCUGAUUCAUUGAAUCAUUGCCUUUAACAACCUUCUUAACUCAGUGAGAUAAAACAUUCAAUGUUUGGGAUCUUAUAUCUCUUCUAGGCGGUGGAUCUCCAUCUAUAAAAAAGACAACUUUCAUCCCUGAUAACAUCAUUCUCACAACUCCUGAUAAUACCAAAAACUUAUUUUCAGUUUAGUGCUUCUUAUUCUCAUCGUUCUCACAAUUCAUCGGACGAUCAAGAUGCCCAUUAAAGAUCCUUCAAUCAAUCCUCCCAAUACGUCUUGCUUUUGGAAGGUCCGAAUGUGAAGAGGAGGUGCGCUCAAGAAGACAAUAAAGAAGAAUCGUUUCGCUACUCACCUCACCAGAUCCAACGGCUUGAAAUGUAUUCUCUCUUAUUCUCUACUCAACUAUUCUCUCCAGUUCUUUCUUUCUGUUCUCUUAUGAUUGUGUUUGCAGGGCUUUUGAUGAGUGUUUGACAUUCAGAUGAGAAACAGAGGAUGCAACUUAGCUUUGAUGAACAGAAGCUUCAAUUGAAACUGCACAGCUUAGAGAAGAGCUCGUGAGGGCUUCAAGCAUUGCAGCUAAAUCAUGGGAGGCCACUUUCUCAUCUCCCACCACUACUAAACCAGAUGCACGUUUCUCCAUUAGAGUUACUCCACAGUGGUCUUUUGCUUGAUUUUAAUCUUCUUCCAGGAAGUUGUUCUUCAAUGACUGCCUCGAGUUUACCGUAUCUUGGUUAUCUCGGACAUGGAUAAGUCUCUGACGAUUAACAUUGAUGUGACCGCUAUGAAAGAAUUGCUUAGGCUUACACAAACUAAUGAGCCUCUGUGGAUCAAAACAGAUGGAUGCCUAGACGUUCUCAGUCUCAAAAGCUAUGAGAAUGCAUUCCCAAGAUUGAGUAGUCGUGGAGGAAAGAACCACAACCUUAGAGUGGAAGUAAUAGAUCUGAUGGCAUUGUUUUCACUAAUGCAGUGACACUUGUGGAGAUGCUCAUGGACUCUGUCAAAGCUCGAGAGCUUUUUCCUUCAGUCGUUGCAGCAUCUAAAACUCUUGGAGUGGUUUCAUCUAAGAUUGCGUGGAAAUCACGGAGAUGCCUUACAUUUGACAACAACAUGAUCUGAAGGCGGUGGAAUGAUUCUGGAAGAUCAAAGACGUGACUGCUUCUGUUUUGUAUUUUGGAAUCAAUAAGAUUAGCUCUGUUAAGCCUCUGUGGAAUCAAAAAGAAAAAAUAUUAGCUAUGUUUUGCGACACUCACCGAAUGCUACUUUCAAUUAUUUUUAUAUGAAACUC